Long non-coding RNA from Paramisgurnus dabryanus, 286 nucleotides. RefSeq lists it as uncharacterized. Lineage: Eukaryota; Metazoa; Chordata; Actinopteri; Cypriniformes; Cobitidae. The record is from RefSeq and is a predicted model, not a curated record.
GAGUAACAGGAGGAAGUAGAGGAGUAACAGGAGGAAGUAGAGGCGUAACAGGAGGAAGUAGAGGCGUAACAGGAGGAAGUAGAGGAGAAGCAGGGGGAAGUAGAGGAGGACCAGGAAUUGGUGGUGGAGGAGAACAAUAUGGAGUACGGCUACCAGAAGGAGCAGGAGGAAGUAGAGGAGGAGGAGGAGGAGAAAGUAAAGGAGGACCAGUAGAAAGUAGAGGAGGAGGGGCCAGGUUUGUGGAUGAGAAAUAUGCACAGCUUGUUGCAAGGGUGACAUCAGUGAU